CAGAGUUCAUGCCCUAACGGGUAGAUCUCCCACCCUGUGUUAUUAUUACUCUGUUGCUUUGGCGGGCCGUCAGGCUCGCGCCCACCACCGGCUCUGGCUGGUGCGUGCCCGCCAAAGGACCCAAAACCCUGAAUUUUAGUGUCGUCCGAGUACUAUACAAUAGUUA
Molecule: unclassified non-coding RNA, 166 nt
Filed under: uncultured Leptodontidium
Lineage: Eukaryota; Fungi; Ascomycota
Description: sequence contains ITS1
Source: RNAcentral